GUGAGACCCGACAUGAAAUCCCAGCUCGAAGCCCAGAUGCCGUAGAUGACGCAGACGGUCAGCACGCCGGUGAGAUAGUUGCUGGAGAUCAGAACAGGCGCAAGGGCGAGGAUGGCGAUGACGGCAAUUCCGCCGGCGAUGUCGAUCGGUGAAAUCUGCCGCAUGUCAGAACGCCGCCCGCCGUCCGAGAAUUCCGGACGGUCUGAUCAUGAGGGUGAUGACGACCGCGACCAGCGAGACCAGUUCGGUCCAGGAUGUCGAUAUCAGAUAGGCCACGAUGGUUUCCGAAUAACCGAGGAUCAGCGAAGCGAUGAUGCUGCCGGGGAUCGAGCCCAGUCCGCCGACGAUGACGAUAGCGAACGCCUUCACCAUCGGCAGCAGGCCCAUGGUCGGCUGCACCGUGAGAAACGGCGAGACCAGUACGCCCGCGAACGCCGCGGUGCCUGCCGAGAUUGCCAUCACAAUGGAGAAGAUGCGGUUGGUCGGUAUGCCCAUGUACUGGGCUGCUUCCGGGUCCUGCGACACCGCGAGAAUGGCCGCGCCG
Molecule: unclassified non-coding RNA, 544 nt
Filed under: Hevea brasiliensis (rubber tree)
Lineage: Eukaryota; Viridiplantae; Streptophyta; Magnoliopsida; Malpighiales; Euphorbiaceae
Source: RNAcentral